AUAACCUUGAUAAAUUUGCACAAAUAUGAGGCCCAAAUGAUGAAGCAACCGUUUAUGAAGAGAAGAAGACUCAUCCAAGAAGACCUGGGUUCUCUUUGUUCUUCCAUUAGAUGUCAACAAUGGGAAUAACUUGGUGAAGGACAUACAAGAACUGUACCAUGCUGAUAGCCUUUAUAUAUUUUUGAAGAUAUUAGGCAUUGUGCUACAGGCUGGAAAGUGAAUCCUAGACAGAACACCUCGCAAGUAGACAACUAAUCUUAAGUCAAUAUAUUUUUUUUGUGGGAUUUUCAUAUAUCUUCUUUUUUUGCCAAUAAUACUGUGGACCUUUGAGAAAAGAAGAUAAAUAAUAAUAAAAGAAGAGACUCAGAUCAAAAGAAGCUAAACAUUUCUCACGAUUGGAAAAUAAUAUACUGUGAACGUUCGAAGACAAAAGUCCUGAUUCUCCCUCAAUCUGGAUCUACAUUGAAUACAAGAGAGCUGAGAGGGAUGGCAGAAGGUGUCCUGAGGAACAGCAAUGAAAAGACUAUUUUGAAUCCGUAUCUGAGUAUAAAAGAACAUGAAAGAUAAUGGGUUAACAAAACAAUCCAUCUGUCUUUCUAAGUAUUUAUGUAUGUAAAGAGAUACGGAGUAUUUAAUAUAAACAUACUCUAGA
RNAcentral lists this long non-coding RNA (652 nucleotides) under Equus caballus (horse). RNAcentral describes it as "lncRNA (ENSECAG00000059432.1)". The record is from RNAcentral. Lineage: Eukaryota; Metazoa; Chordata; Mammalia; Perissodactyla; Equidae.